CCUACGGGGGGCAGCAGUAGGGAAUCUUCCACAAUGGACGCAAGUCUGAUGGAGCAACGCCGCGUGAGUGAAGAAGGCUUUCGGGUCGUAAAACUCUGUUGUUGGAGAAGAAUGGUCGGCAGAGUAACUGUUGUCGGCGUGACGGUAUCCAACCAGAAAGCCACGGCUAACUACGUGCCAGCAGCCGCGGUAAUACGUAGGUGGCAAGCGUUAUCCGGAUUUAUUGGGCGUAAAGCGAGCGCAGGCGGUUUUUUAAGUCU
Molecule: ribosomal RNA, 260 nt
Filed under: uncultured Bacillota bacterium
Lineage: Bacteria; Bacillati; Bacillota
Description: uncultured Firmicutes bacterium partial 16S ribosomal RNA
Rfam family: Bacterial small subunit ribosomal RNA
Source: RNAcentral